UACGAAGGGGGCGAGCGUUGUUCGGAUUUACUGGGCGUAAAGGGCGCGUAGGCGGCCUUGUCAGUCAGGCGUGAAAGCCCCGGGCUCAACCUGGGAACGGCGCUUGGGACGGCGAGGCUGGAGUUCGGGAGAGGAGAGUGGAAUUCCCAGUGUAGAGGUGAAAUUCGUAGAUAUUGGGAAGAACACCGGUGGCGAAGGCGGCUCACUGGCCCGUUACCGACGCUCAGGCGCGACAGCGUGGGGAGCAAACAGG
RNAcentral lists this ribosomal RNA (253 nucleotides) under uncultured bacterium. RNAcentral describes it as "partial 16S ribosomal RNA". It matches the Rfam family "Bacterial small subunit ribosomal RNA", at positions 524 to 776 of the family's 1533-position model. The record is from RNAcentral.